RNAcentral lists this ribosomal RNA (914 nucleotides) under Leptographium conjunctum. RNAcentral describes it as "eukaryotic LSU rRNA". It matches the Rfam family "Eukaryotic large subunit ribosomal RNA", at positions 1 to 941 of the family's 3401-position model. Lineage: Eukaryota; Fungi; Ascomycota; Sordariomycetes; Ophiostomatales; Ophiostomataceae. The record is from RNAcentral.
UUGACCUCGGAUCAGGUAGGACUACCCGCUGAACUUAAGCAUAUCAAUAAGCGGAGGAAAAGAAACCAACAGGGAUUGCCCCAGUAACGGCGAGUGAAGCGGCAACAGCUCAGAUUUGGAAUCUGGCCCCCAGGGCCCGAGUUGUAAUCUGGAGAGGAUGCUUCUGGCGCGGCGCCUUCCGAGUUCCCUGGAACGGGACGCCGGAGAGGGUGAGAGCCCCGUACGGUUGGACGCCUAGCCUUUGUGAAGCUCCUUCGACGAGUCGAGUAGUUUGGGAAUGCUGCUCAAAAUGGGAGGUAAAUUUCUUCUAAAGCUAAAUACCGGCCAGAGACCGAUAGCGCACAAGUAGAGUGAUCGAAAGAUGAAAAGCACUUUGAAAAGAGGGUCAAACAGUACGUGAAAUUGUUGAAAGGGAAGCGCCCGUGGCCAGACUUGUGCCCCGCGGACCACCCGGCGCCCUCAGCGCCGGUGCACUCCGCGGGGCGCAGGCCAGCAUCGGUUUUCCUAGGGGGAUAAAGGCGGCGGGAACGUGGCUCCCUCGGGAGUGUUAUAGCCCGCCGCGCCAUGCCCCUGGGGGGACCGAGGACCGCGCUUCGGCAAGGAUGCUGGCGUAAUGGCCACCGGCGACCCGUCUUGAAACACGGACCAAGGAGUCAAGCAUUGGGGCGAGUGUCUGGGUGCCAAACCCGCACGCGAAAUGAAAGUGAACGCAGGUGAGAGCUUCGGCGCAUCAUCGACCGAUCCUGAUGUUCUCGGAUGGAUUUGAGUAAGAGCCUUACCGCUUGGACCCGAAAGAUGGUGAACUAUGCCUGUAUAGGGUGAAGCCAGAGGAAACUCUGGUGGAGGCUCGCAGCGGUUCUGACGUGCAAAUCGAUCGUCAAAUAUGGGCAUGGGGGCGAAAGACUAAUCGAACC